Molecule: ribosomal RNA, 406 nt
Filed under: uncultured bacterium
Lineage: Bacteria
Description: partial 16S ribosomal RNA
Rfam family: Bacterial small subunit ribosomal RNA
Source: RNAcentral
AUUGAACGCUGGCGGCAGGCCUAACACAUGCAAGUCGAACGAGUGGCGGACGGGUGAGUAAUGUCUGGGAAACUGCCUGAUGGAGGGGGAUAACUACUGGAAACGGUAGCUAAUACCGCAUACCAUCAGAUGUGCCCAGAUGGGAUUAGCUAGUUGGUGGGGUAACGGCGCACCAAGGCGGCGAUCCCUCGCUGGUCUGAGAGGAGGACCAGCCACACUGGAACAGAGACACGUUCCAGACCCCUACGGGAGGCAGCAGUGGGGAAUAUUGGACAAGGGGCGCAAGCCGGACGAAGCCAGGCCGCGUGUAGGAAGAAGGCCUUCGGGUUGUAAAGGACUUUCAGCGGGGAGGCGUGACCCGCAGAAGAAGCAACGGCUAAUUCCGUGCCAGCAGCCGCGGUAAUUC